This 265-nucleotide ribosomal RNA is filed under the name uncultured Staphylococcus sp. Its description in RNAcentral is "partial 16S ribosomal RNA". It matches the Rfam family "Bacterial small subunit ribosomal RNA", at positions 96 to 354 of the family's 1533-position model. Lineage: Bacteria; Bacillati; Bacillota; Bacilli; Caryophanales; Staphylococcaceae. The record is from RNAcentral.
CGGCGGACGGGUGAGUAACACGUGGGUAACCUACCUAUAAGACUGGGACAACUUGGGAAACCGGAGCUAAUACCGGAUAAGAUAUCGAACCGCAUGGUUCGAUAGUGAAAGAUGGUUUUGCUAUCACUUAUAGAUGGACCCGCGCCGUAUUAGCUAGUUGGUGAGGUAACGGCUCACCAAGGCAACGAUACGUAGCCGACCUGAGAGGGUGAUCGGCCACACUGGAACUGAGACACGGUCCAGACUCCUACGGGAGGCAGCAGGU